This 206-nucleotide long non-coding RNA is filed under the name Lathyrus oleraceus (garden pea). RNAcentral describes it as "Pisum sativum (pea) long non-coding RNA (PSAT_LNC013373)". Lineage: Eukaryota; Viridiplantae; Streptophyta; Magnoliopsida; Fabales; Fabaceae. The record is from RNAcentral.
AAAUGGGGUCUAUUCAUCAGUCAAAACGUUAAUCUUGAAGGAGCAAAAGUUUGUUCAUGAGCUGUCAUGCUCGCUAGGCGAGCAGAAUGGGUCGCCUAGUGAGUCCCAAGAAAAGCCACCAGAAUCACCUACGCUCAGAGGAAUUUCUUGAACUGUCAUGCUCGCUAGGCGAAGCCCACGCGUUUUGAAAAUAAAAAUAAAUAAAA